Molecule: long non-coding RNA, 2370 nt
Organism: Homo sapiens (human)
Lineage: Eukaryota; Metazoa; Chordata; Mammalia; Primates; Hominidae
Gene: MALAT1
Product: metastasis associated lung adenocarcinoma transcript 1
Source: Ensembl
AGGCAUUGAGGCAGCCAGCGCAGGGGCUUCUGCUGAGGGGGCAGGCGGAGCUUGAGGAAACCGCAGAUAAGUUUUUUUCUCUUUGAAAGAUAGAGAUUAAUACAACUACUUAAAAAAUAUAGUCAAUAGGUUACUAAGAUAUUGCUUAGCGUUAAGUUUUUAACGUAAUUUUAAUAGCUUAAGAUUUUAAGAGAAAAUAUGAAGACUUAGAAGAGUAGCAUGAGGAAGGAAAAGAUAAAAGGUUUCUAAAACAUGACGGAGGUUGAGAUGAAGCUUCUUCAUGGAGUAAAAAAUGUAUUUAAAAGAAAAUUGAGAGAAAGGACUACAGAGCCCCGAAUUAAUACCAAUAGAAGGGCAAUGCUUUUAGAUUAAAAUGAAGGUGACUUAAACAGCUUAAAGUUUAGUUUAAAAGUUGUAGGUGAUUAAAAUAAUUUGAAGGCGAUCUUUUAAAAAGAGAUUAAACCGAAGGUGAUUAAAAGACCUUGAAAUCCAUGACGCAGGGAGAAUUGCGUCAUUUAAAGCCUAGUUAACGCAUUUACUAAACGCAGACGAAAAUGGAAAGAUUAAUUGGGAGUGGUAGGAUGAAACAAUUUGGAGAAGAUAGAAGUUUGAAGUGGAAAACUGGAAGACAGAAGUACGGGAAGGCGAAGAAAAGAAUAGAGAAGAUAGGGAAAUUAGAAGAUAAAAACAUACUUUUAGAAGAAAAAAGAUAAAUUUAAACCUGAAAAGUAGGAAGCAGAAGAAAAAAGACAAGCUAGGAAACAAAAAGCUAAGGGCAAAAUGUACAAACUUAGAAGAAAAUUGGAAGAUAGAAACAAGAUAGAAAAUGAAAAUAUUGUCAAGAGUUUCAGAUAGAAAAUGAAAAACAAGCUAAGACAAGUAUUGGAGAAGUAUAGAAGAUAGAAAAAUAUAAAGCCAAAAAUUGGAUAAAAUAGCACUGAAAAAAUGAGGAAAUUAUUGGUAACCAAUUUAUUUUAAAAGCCCAUCAAUUUAAUUUCUGGUGGUGCAGAAGUUAGAAGGUAAAGCUUGAGAAGAUGAGGGUGUUUACGUAGACCAGAACCAAUUUAGAAGAAUACUUGAAGCUAGAAGGGGAAGUUGGUUAAAAAUCACAUCAAAAAGCUACUAAAAGGACUGGUGUAAUUUAAAAAAAACUAAGGCAGAAGGCUUUUGGAAGAGUUAGAAGAAUUUGGAAGGCCUUAAAUAUAGUAGCUUAGUUUGAAAAAUGUGAAGGACUUUCGUAACGGAAGUAAUUCAAGAUCAAGAGUAAUUACCAACUUAAUGUUUUUGCAUUGGACUUUGAGUUAAGAUUAUUUUUUAAAUCCUGAGGACUAGCAUUAAUUGACAGCUGACCCAGGUGCUACACAGAAGUGGAUUCAGUGAAUCUAGGAAGACAGCAGCAGACAGGAUUCCAGGAACCAGUGUUUGAUGAAGCUAGGACUGAGGAGCAAGCGAGCAAGCAGCAGUUCGUGGUGAAGAUAGGAAAAGAGUCCAGGAGCCAGUGCGAUUUGGUGAAGGAAGCUAGGAAGAAGGAAGGAGCGCUAACGAUUUGGUGGUGAAGCUAGGAAAAAGGAUUCCAGGAAGGAGCGAGUGCAAUUUGGUGAUGAAGGUAGCAGGCGGCUUGGCUUGGCAACCACACGGAGGAGGCGAGCAGGCGUUGUGCGUAGAGGAUCCUAGACCAGCAUGCCAGUGUGCCAAGGCCACAGGGAAAGCGAGUGGUUGGUAAAAAUCCGUGAGGUCGGCAAUAUGUUGUUUUUCUGGAACUUACUUAUGGUAACCUUUUAUUUAUUUUCUAAUAUAAUGGGGGAGUUUCGUACUGAGGUGUAAAGGGAUUUAUAUGGGGACGUAGGCCGAUUUCCGGGUGUUGUAGGUUUCUCUUUUUCAGGCUUAUACUCAUGAAUCUUGUCUGAAGCUUUUGAGGGCAGACUGCCAAGUCCUGGAGAAAUAGUAGAUGGCAAGUUUGUGGGUUUUUUUUUUUUACACGAAUUUGAGGAAAACCAAAUGAAUUUGAUAGCCAAAUUGAGACAAUUUCAGCAAAUCUGUAAGCAGUUUGUAUGUUUAGUUGGGGUAAUGAAGUAUUUCAGUUUUGUGAAUAGAUGACCUGUUUUUACUUCCUCACCCUGAAUUCGUUUUGUAAAUGUAGAGUUUGGAUGUGUAACUGAGGUGGGAGGUAACAGCACAAUAUCUUUGAACUAUAUACAUCCUUGAUGUAUAAUUUGUCAGGAGCUUGACUUGAUUGUAUAUUCAUAUUUACACGAGAACCUAAUAUAACUGCCUUGUCUUUUUCAGGUAAUAGCCUGCAGCUGGUGUUUUGAGAAGCCCUACUGCUGAAAACUUAACAAUUUUGUGUAAUAAAAAUGGAGAAGCUCUAAA